AGAAUUUGAUGAUGAAGCUUCGU
This 23-nucleotide non-coding RNA is filed under the name Arabidopsis thaliana (thale cress). The record is from RNAcentral. Lineage: Eukaryota; Viridiplantae; Streptophyta; Magnoliopsida; Brassicales; Brassicaceae.